AUCCAGCUGACGAGUCCAAAAUAAGACGAAACGCUCAUUUUGGAU
RNAcentral lists this non-coding RNA (45 nucleotides) under Schistosoma margrebowiei. Lineage: Eukaryota; Metazoa; Platyhelminthes; Trematoda; Strigeidida; Schistosomatidae. The record is from RNAcentral.